This 93-nucleotide transfer RNA is filed under the name Caldisericia bacterium. Its description in RNAcentral is "tRNA-Ser". It matches the Rfam family "tRNA". From Rfam's summary of the family: Transfer RNA (tRNA) molecules are approximately 80 nucleotides in length. The record is from RNAcentral. Lineage: Bacteria; Pseudomonadati; Caldisericota; Caldisericia.
GGAGAGGUGGCUGAGUGGUCGAAAGCACCUGCCUCGAAAGCAGGAAAGCGGAUUUUCUCCGCUUCGCGGGUUCAAAUCCCGCCCUCUCCGCCA